Molecule: non-coding RNA, 580 nt
Organism: Trichomonas vaginalis G3
Lineage: Eukaryota; Parabasalia; Trichomonadida; Trichomonadidae
Source: Rfam
AACACGGGGAAACUUACCAGGACCAGAUGUUUUUUAUGACUGACAGGCUUCGGGUCUUUCAGGAUAUUGUUUUUGGUGGUGCAUGGCCGUUGGUGGUGCGUGGGUUGACCUGUCUAGCGUUGAUUCAGCUAACGAGCGAGAUUAUCGCCAAUUAUUUACUUUGCCGAAGUCCUUCGGUUAAAGUUCUAAUUGGGACUCCCUGCGAUUUUAGCAGGUGGAAGAGGGUAGCAAUAACAGGUCCGUGAUGCCCUUUAGAUGCUCUGGGCUGCACGCGUGCUACAAUGUUAGGAUCAAUAGGACUGCGAGCCUGAGAGGGUGCGCUACUCUUAUAAUCCCUAACGUAGUUGGGAUUGACGUUUGUAAUCAGCGUCAUGAACCAGGAAUCCCUUGUAAAUGUGUGUCAACAACGCACGUUGAAUACGUCCCUGCCCUUUGUACACACCGCCCGUCGCUCCUACCGAUUGGAUGACUCGGUGAAAUCACCGGAUGCUUACGAGCAGAAAGUGAUUAAAUCACGUUAUCUAGAGGAAGGAGAAGUCGUAACAAGGUAACGGUAGGUGAACCUGCCGUUGGAUCAGUU